GACGAACGCUGGCGGCGUGCUUAACACAUGCAAGUCGAACGGAAAGGCCCUGCUUUUGUGGGGUGCUCGAGUGGCGAACGGGUGAGUAACACGUGAGUAACCUGCCCUUGACUUUGGGAUAACUUCAGGAAACUGGGGCUAAUACCGGAUAGGAGCUCCUGCUGCAUGGUGGGGGUUGGAAAGUUUCGGCGGUUGGGGAUGGACUCGCGGCUUAUCAGCUUGUUGGUGGGGUAGUGGCUUACCAAGGCUUUGACGGGUAGCCGGCCUGAGAGGGUGACCGGCCACAUUGGGACUGAGAUACGGCCCAGACUCCUACGGGAGGCAGCAGUGGAGAAUAUUGCACAAUGGGCGGAAGCCUGAUGCAGCAACGCCGCGUGCGGGAUGACGGCCGUCGGGUUGUAAACCGCUUUCGCCUGUGACGAAGCGUGAGUGACGGUAAUGGGUAAAGAAGCACCGGCUAACUACGUG
Molecule: ribosomal RNA, 468 nt
Filed under: uncultured bacterium
Lineage: Bacteria
Description: partial 16S ribosomal RNA
Rfam family: Bacterial small subunit ribosomal RNA
Source: RNAcentral